AGAGUUUGAUCAUGGCUCAGGACGAACGCUGGCGGCGUGCUUAACACAUGCAAGUCGAACGGAAAGGCCCUUCGGGGUACUCGAGUGGCGAACGGGUGAGUAACACGUGGGUGAUCUGCCCUGCACUUUGGGAUAAGCCUGGGAAACUGGGUCUAAUACCGAAUAGGACCACGCGCUUCAUGGUGUGUGGUGGAAAGCUUUUGCGGUGUGGGAUGGGCCCGCGGCCUAUCAGCUUGUUGGUGGGGUAAUGGCCUACCAAGGCGACGACGGGUAGCCGGCCUGAGAGGGUGACCGGCCACACUGGGACUGAGAUACGGCCCAGACUCCUACGGGAGGCAGCAGUGGGGAAUAUUGCACAAUGGGCGCAAGCCUGAUGCAGCGACGCCGCGUGAGGGAUGACGGCCUUCGGGUUGUAAACCUCUUUCAAUAGGGACGAAGCGCAAGUGACGGUACCUAUAGAAGAAGCACCGGCCAACUACGUGCCAGCAGCCGCGGUAAUACGUAGGGUGCGAGCGUUGUCCGGAAUCACUGGGCGUAAAGAGCUCGUAGGUGGUUUGUCGCGUUGUUCGUGAAAACUCACAGCUUAACUGUGGGCGUGCGGGCGAUACGGGCAGACUAGAGUACUGCAGGGGAGACUGGAAUUCCUGGUGUAGCGGUGGAAUGCGCAGAUAUCAGGAGGAACACCGGUGGCGAAGGCGGGUCUCUGGGCAGUAACUGACGCUGAGGAGCGAAAGCGUGGGGAGCGAACAGGAUUAGAUACCCUGGUAGUCCAA
RNAcentral lists this ribosomal RNA (773 nucleotides) under uncultured bacterium. RNAcentral describes it as "bacterial SSU rRNA". It matches the Rfam family "Bacterial small subunit ribosomal RNA", at positions 8 to 798 of the family's 1533-position model. The record is from RNAcentral.